CGUCCGGAACGGGCGCUAAUACCGCAUACGUCCUGAGGGAGAAAGUGGGGGAUCUUCGGACCUCACGCUAUCAGAUGAGCCUAGGUCGGAUUAGCUAGUUGGUGGGGUAAAGGCCUACCAAGGCGACGAUCCGUAACUGGUCUGAGAGGAUGAUCAGUCACACUGGAACUGAGACACGGUCCAGACUCCUACGGGAGGCAGCAGUGGGGAAUAUUGGACAAUGGGCGAAAGCCUGAUCCAGCCAUGCCGCGUGUGUGAAGAAGGUCUUCGGAUUGUAAAGCACUUUAAGUUGGGAGGAAGGGCAGUAAGUUAAUACCUUGCUGUUUUGACGUUACCAACAGAAUAAGCACCGGCUAACUUCGUGCCAGCAGCCGCGGUAAUACGAAGGGUGCAAGCGUUAAUCGGAAUUACUGGGCGUAAAGCGCGCGUAGGUGGUUCAGCAAGUUGGAUGUGAAAUCCCCGGGCUCAACCUGGGAACUGCAUCCAAAACUACUGAGCUAGAGUACGGUAGAGGGUGGUGGAAUUUCCUGUGUAGCGGUGAAAUGCGUAGAUAUAGGAAGGAACACCAGU
This 570-nucleotide ribosomal RNA is filed under the name Pseudomonas aeruginosa. Its description in RNAcentral is "bacterial SSU rRNA". It matches the Rfam family "Bacterial small subunit ribosomal RNA", at positions 147 to 713 of the family's 1533-position model. Lineage: Bacteria; Pseudomonadati; Pseudomonadota; Gammaproteobacteria; Pseudomonadales; Pseudomonadaceae. The record is from RNAcentral.